RNAcentral lists this unclassified non-coding RNA (240 nucleotides) under uncultured fungus. RNAcentral's name for it is "sequence contains ITS2". The stretch from base 1 to 52 matches the Rfam family "5.8S ribosomal RNA", at positions 103 to 154 of the family's 154-position model. The record is from RNAcentral. Lineage: Eukaryota; Fungi.
AACGCAUAUUGCGCCCGCUAGUACUCUAGCGGGCAUGCCUGUUCGAGCGUCAUUUCAACCCUCAAGCACUGCUUGGUGUUGGGGCCCCUAUAGAUACUAUAGGCCCUGAAAAUUAGUGGCAGGCUCGCUGUAACUCCGAGUGUAGUAAUCUUUCUCGCUUAGGGUGUUGCGGUAGGACCUAGCCCCCCACAAACAUAUCAGGUUGACCUCGGAUCAGGUAGGAAUACCCGCUGAACUUAA